AUAGGCAGAGUCAAAAUCAGAGGUGUUUAUGGUACAGAAGGUAAAUCCUGACUUCAGGGUCGCUCUUAAAGAAAAUUAGGUCUUACGCUGCUCUUAACGGAAAAUCACCCCAUGAAACUCUGCCCUUUACGGCCUCUGAGACCCACAGUACCUUCUCAAAGUGGGGGGAUGGAGGAGAUUGCAGGGCUUCUGGUUGGGCAGUCAUUGUGACUUCUCCAUUAACUCUAUAAUGAGUUGGUUCUAAAUUCUGCCACUAGGAAGCCCAGUAGCACCGUCAGCCUCUGUAUCAGCGUUGCCAUGAGCACCCCCUUCGAGAAAUCUGAACUUGCCAAGCAUUGAUUUUUUCUUUUUAAAGCAGGUCUAUCCUAUGCUUCGAUGCCUCCCAACCAUCUGCACCCAACUGAGGUGACACCAGCAAGACUCUUCUGUUCCUGCUGUUCCAUCUCAACAAGAUCCUAUAUCCAGAAAGGGCAAAGGAAGCAAAGAGCCAACCUAAGCUGUAGAGAGCCGACGCAGGAAGACGAGAUUCCCAAGGUGCCUCUCUGUGACCUGUCAUCCCAGCCUCAGUCUGCAGAACCUUCCAGCAACAGAGACAUCUUCCUCAGCUCUGCACUCAGCGAGGGGAGCGACCGGGGAGCCACCACCCCAGCCCAGGCACCCAAGAUUUACGAAGGGCCCUGCCUUCCAUUAGGCAGCGGGAAGGGGCUGGGCGUCUCUGCUCAGCUUUAGAAGUCCAUUUGUUUCCAUUCCUUGUCAGCAGUUUGCAUAAGUGAGUGGUUUUAUUUCUUGGGAGCGAGGAGGAAAAAACGCACGAGUUACCCCAGCAGUGGGAGAUUUGUCAAAUAAAGCUUUUAA
RNAcentral lists this long non-coding RNA (855 nucleotides) under Vulpes vulpes (red fox). Its description in RNAcentral is "lncRNA (ENSVVUG00000017339.1)". The record is from RNAcentral. Lineage: Eukaryota; Metazoa; Chordata; Mammalia; Carnivora; Canidae.